GAUGAAGAACGCAGCGAAAUGCGAUACUUGGUGUGAAUUGCAGAAUCCCGUGAACCAUCGAGUCUUUGAACGCAAGUUGCGCCCGAAGCCAUUAGGCCGAGGGCACGCCUGCCUGGGCGUCACACGUCGUUGCCCCCCCAUCUACUCCUUCGGGAUUGCGGGGGGCGGAUGAUGGCCUCCCGUGCGCCUCGUCGCGCGGUUGGCAUAAAUGCCAAGUCCUCGGCGACGCACGCCACGACAAUCGGUGGUUGCGAAACCUCGGUUGCCCGUCGUGUGCGGUCGUCGCGCAUCGAGGGCUCGAAAAAAUUGCCGGGCUCCGGCUCGGCUUUCAACGCGACCCCAGGUCAGGCGGGGUUACCCGCUGAAUUUAAGCAUAUCAAUAGCGGAGGA
This 390-nucleotide unclassified non-coding RNA is filed under the name soil metagenome. Its description in RNAcentral is "partial contains 5.8S ribosomal RNA, internal transcribed spacer 2, and large subunit ribosomal RNA". The stretch from base 1 to 122 matches the Rfam family "5.8S ribosomal RNA", at positions 35 to 154 of the family's 154-position model. The record is from RNAcentral.